RNAcentral lists this ribosomal RNA (1291 nucleotides) under metagenome. RNAcentral's name for it is "bacterial SSU rRNA". It matches the Rfam family "Bacterial small subunit ribosomal RNA", at positions 196 to 1477 of the family's 1533-position model. The record is from RNAcentral.
GCAGGGGAUCGCAAGACCUUGCGCUGAUUGAGCGGCCGAUAUCAGAUUAGCUAGUUGGUGAGGUAAAAGCUCACCAAGGCGACGAUCUGUAGCGGGUCUGAGAGGAUGAUCCGCCACACUGGAACUGAGACACGGUCCAGACUCCUACGGGAGGCAGCAGUGGGGAAUUUUGGACAAUGGGGGCAACCCUGAUCCAGCCAUGCCGCGUGAGUGAAGGAGGCCUUCGGGUUGUAAAGCUCUUUCAGCCGGGAAGAAAACGCAUGGGUUAAUACCCUGUGUGGAUGACGGUACCGGAAUAAGAAGCACCGGCUAACUACGUGCCAGCAGCCGCGGUAAUACGUAGGGUGCGAGCGUUAAUCGGAAUUACUGGGCGUAAAGCGUGCGCAGGCGGUUUUGUAAGACAGGCGUGAAAUCCCCGGGCUUAACCUGGGAACUGCGUUUGUGACUGCAAGGCUAGAGUACGGCAGAGGGGGGUGGAAUUCCACGUGUAGCAGUGAAAUGCGUAGAGAUGUGGAGGAACACCAAUGGCGAAGGCAGCCCCCUGGGUCGAUACUGACGCUCAUGCACGAAAGCGUGGGUAGCAAACAGGAUUAGAUACCCUGGUAGUCCACGCCCUAAACGAUGUCAACUAGGUGUUGGGAGGGUAAAACCUUUUAGUACCGGAGCUAACGCGUGAAGUUGACCGCCUGGGGAGUACGGCCGCAAGGUUAAAACUCAAAGGAAUUGACGGGGACCCGCACAAGCGGUGGAUGAUGUGGAUUAAUUCGAUGCAACGCGAAAAACCUUACCUACCCUUGACAUGCCAAGAACUUUCCAGAGAUGGAUUGGUGCCCGAAAGGGAACUUGGACACAGGUGCUGCAUGGCUGUCGUCAGCUCGUGUCGUGAGAUGUUGGGUUAAGUCCCGCAACGAGCGCAACCCUUGUCGUUAAUUGCCAUCAUUUAGUUGGGCACUUUAACGAGACUGCCGGUGACAAACCGGAGGAAGGUGGGGAUGACGUCAAGUCCUCAUGGCCCUUAUGGGUAGGGCUUCACACGUCAUACAAUGGUCGGUACAAAGGGUCGCCAAGCCGCGAGGUGGAGCCAAUCCCAGAGAGCCGAUCGUAGUCCGGAUCGCAGUCUGCAACUCGACUGCGUGAAGUCGGAAUCGCUAGUAAUCGUGGAUCAGCAUGUCACGGUGAAUACGUUCCCGGGUCUUGUACACACCGCCCGUCACACCAUGGGAGCGAGUUCCGCCAGAAGUAGGUAGCCUAACCGCAAGGAGGGCGCUUACCACGGCGGGGUUCGUGACUG